CCCUCCCUCCGUCCCUUCUUCUUCCCUUCGUUUUCUCCGUUUGAUUUAAAUCAGGGCUAGAUCUUGACCUCUCUAUCUGUUUCUCUCCCUACUUCUGUUACUUUGUUUUAUGAUCACUUCUUCAACUUCAUUUUGAGUCAUAUUUUUUCCUUUUCCUUUUCACCUUUUUUUUGCUCCAGUGUUCUUGUUGAUUUCCAAGUUUUUUGUUGUUUAUUUUUUAUUUUAUUUCCAAUUUUUUUCUGGUUCUUUAUUCGUUAUUUUCCACUUCUUUUUUUUAAAAAGAAAUUACUCUAGAAAACCUCCUUUUUUUUUCCUGUUUCUCAAUUUGUUGUUCUUUAAUUUUUUUCCCCACUUGUAACUACAUCUAUAUAACCAAAAAAAAAUCAAGAAACCUCAAAACCAUGAAUUACCAACAAAAAAAGAGUAGCAGAGGUGUUGGUUUCGUGUGAUUUUUUUUCGCUCAUAAAUUUCUGGGUCUUACUGGUUUCUUAGAGGUGCAGCAUCAUCAAGAUUCACAUUCAAACAGAUGUACGGCAGCUAGCUAGCUAGAUAGAUAGACAGCAAUGUAUUUCUUUGAAGGUGAGAAUCUUGAUGAUGCUGCAUCAGCCAUAAAUGACUGCAUAUACAAACCUGAAAUAGUUGGAUCUAAGAUUUUCUGCUUCUAAACAAGGUAAAGCUGCUCAAAUCCUUAAUUACCAUAUUUGUUUGGCUUUUAUUACUUGUACCUAGCUAAUAACUUGGGGGGUUCAUAUUAGUACGAUGGCCUUAAAGGAGUAGCACUACCGUAUGCAUAAAAUAAUUGAUCCAUCUUGGCUUGUACAGGAGUCUAUUUGGAAUUCCCAUUUGUUGUUAACACGCUGUGAGACGUACAGGAACUAUCAUCUAUAUAGAUGUAAGAACGCUGAAAUUAGUCCUUCAUGUCAUAUAUAUUGGUUAUGAUCAUAGUACUGCUCUCAAAAACACCCUUUUGUGCUUGUGUUUAUGUAUUAGCUAGGUUAUUUCUGAAGACGAACUUGGUUCUUGUAGUUUAGGGUUUUGUUAAUUAAUUUGGUUAGGCAUAAAGGAAGUUAGAGCUUGAUGGAGAGUAUAUGAAAUAGUGGUGUGUAUGCUUGUUUGAUUAAUGAAUUCUUAGUAGUUGUGUUCUUGUGUCCCUCAACUAAUUAAUUCAUGAUUACCCUAAUUAAGAGCUUAGAAUUUCCAAUUUCAGUUUCCAUACAUACAUACAUAUCCAAGCUUGAUGAAGCAACUUGGCUACAAGUCAUGGUGGAGCUUCUUUAGCAUCUCCAUAUCACUGUUACAAUCAACAAACUAUUCAUUGCUCCAUGUGUGUGUGCUUCCUUGAUACAUAUGAAUAUUAAUUGCUCUUUGAUUUCCUCCAUGAUUCUAGAGUACUUUCCUUUACCACUAUUCCUUGUGGAUCAGUCAAAGGGAAAAACAAAUACAAUGCAUUUAUAUGACCUUAAAUUUUGCUUUUGAAAUAUUCUCUUAAUUAUAAUAUACUUGCUUUAUUCACCAUGAACAUGCAUGUCCAAGCAGCCUGCAGUACGUACAGAAAUCUCUUUUGGAUAUCGCAUAAAUAUCCUCUUGUUGUUUCCUCUAUUUUUGUCCGAAUCUGAACUAUUUCAUAAAUACUUUUUGAUUUGGGUAUCUUGCAGUCAUUUCCUAUAGAAUUCAACCUUCUCAUCUAUGGAGUCCUUCCAAAGGGAAUCUGUAAGGAAAUAUAUAUUGAGUUUCAAUGUGCAUGAAGAAUUUGGAAGAGCACAUUAUUAUUCAAUUCACACACUAGCCGUUAAGGACAUGUUUACAGUCAGACUUAAGCUGGAUGAAUGUCCCACAAGCAAAACAGACAAUAAAACAAGAGAGAGCCUUAGCUAGCUGUAACUCAGCAAGAUAAAAGAUCAUUAUUAUGCUUCUGCUAUGUGACUUGCAUUAUUUUUUCAACCUAUACACGUGAGUAAACAUGGGCUCAUGGCAAUACGAAUUGAUUACAACUUGGCUCAAUUAGUCUGUUAAUUAGGUAGGAGAUAUUCAGAUUUUUCCUUAAACAUUUUAUGAUCAUCUGUAUUAUGAUAUGCAUACAAGUAUUUCAUUAUAUUGCAGAAGGACUGCUACAAAGAGAAUCGCCUUAAUUCUUGGAGUUGCAUAAUGUUUUGAACUUGCGCUUGACAUUUUUUCCUCAAUGGGACCAGCUAUAAAUUAAGGCAAGCAAACUACUUAGCUACUGUAAUUUUGUUUUCUGGUACCAGCAGGUGUAAUUCCAGUUGGAUAUGACUUAGAGAGACCUAAAAGGGCAUUAAGGUGUCUGUGAUCAUCUACACACAGGUACCAGUCCCUGGAUCUGAAGAAGAAUCUUAAGCCAAGUCAUGUGGGGGCAAUUAGAGACAAAAGCUGUUGUGUCAAUUGACAAGUGAAGGAAAGAGUAGGAAAUCAUUCUUUCUUGUUAAGGUCCACAAGUACACAGAGUAGGGAAAGAAACAACAGUAUGGUGACCUAUGCGAUCAUAGCAAAUCAACUUGGUAAAAAUGCACUUGAACAUAAUGCAAUUUUGGAUGUGCAUGUCA
This is a long non-coding RNA of Populus nigra (black poplar), 2561 nucleotides long. RefSeq lists it as uncharacterized. The record is from RefSeq and is a predicted model, not a curated record. NCBI's taxonomy places the organism in Eukaryota, Viridiplantae, Streptophyta, Magnoliopsida, Malpighiales, Salicaceae. The transcript is spliced from 2 exons.